This 497-nucleotide ribosomal RNA is filed under the name uncultured bacterium. RNAcentral's name for it is "partial 16S ribosomal RNA". It matches the Rfam family "Bacterial small subunit ribosomal RNA", at positions 28 to 507 of the family's 1533-position model. The record is from RNAcentral.
GACGAACGCUGGCGGCGUGCCUAAUACAUGCAAGUUGAGCGCUGAAGGUUGGUACUUGUACCAACUGGAUGAGCAGCGAACGGGUGAGUAACGCGUGGGGAAUCUGCCUUUGAGCGGGGGACAACAUUUGGAAACGAAUGCUAAUACCGCAUAAAAACUUUAAACACAAGUUUUAAGUUUGAAAGAUGCAAUUGCAUCACUCAAUGAUGAUCCCGCUUUGUAUUAGCUAGUUGGUGAGGUAAAGGCUCACCAAGGCGAUGAUACAUAGCCGACCUGAGAGGGUGAUCAGCCACAUUGGGAAUGAGACACGGCCCAAACUACUACGGGAGGCAGCAGUAGGGAAUCUUCGGCGAUGGAAGAAAGUCUGACCGAGCCACGCCGCGUGAGUGAAGAAGGUCUUCGGAUCGUAAAACUCUGUUGGUAGAGAAGAACGUUGGUGAGAGUGGAAAGCUCAUCAAGUGACGGUAACUACUCAGAAAGGGACGGCUAACUACGUG